AUUCAUCAAGUACUUCAAUAGUUCAUUUCUUCCUUUCCAUUCAUGGUAUUUUCAUACCCUCCUUAACAGAAAACAGUAAAACACUAGUAACUGUGAAAAAACACCAAUAUUCAGAUUGUUUGACACAAAAUAAGCCCUAGAAGUGGAACUCUGGAUGGAAAAUACAAAUUCAAUAUUCAAAACUAAUGCAAGGUGAGUUUUGAAAUGGAGGUGUAACAAGGACAGCAAAUUGAACUCCAAAUUCAUAUUCAAAGCCACAGAGACAUUAGCAUUUGAUGGUCCAUUGUACCCUUUCAGGAUUGGCUGCAGCUAUUGAAGAUGAGCCAAUAAUUUUCCUCUGGACUUGUUCACAGCUGUAUAGGCUGUUCAUUUCCAAGUAGUUCAUCUACCUCUAUAUCCAUGUCCUAUAGCACCUGAAUAUAUUUCCAGUCUGAACUAUUUCUGGAACUCCGGUGACCCGAUGUAGACAUGAGGAAUGUGAGACACUUUAUGCCAGCCCUUUCUACCUUUCUCCUGCUUGCACCAGCUCUCCAGAUUAGGACAAUCUUGAAUGGACAGGUGCUGGAGUUUACUAAGAUGUUUCAGUCCAUCUGGCAAGGAAGUCAAAUUUUUGCAAUCUGAAAUUGCCAGUGAUCUUAAUGAAGAAAGUUUAUCCACCCACCCUGGCAAAUCUUUCAGACCAUGACAGCUACGAAUUUCCAAAGUUUGCAAUGUUGAGACAUAUUGCAGCCCAUCUGGUAGAGAAUCCAACUUAGGACAACAUAAAAUGCUCAAACUCCUGAGAGCUGAAAGAUUUUUCCAUUCGUUAGGCAAAGAAGCCAAAUUUGGGCAA
RNAcentral lists this unclassified non-coding RNA (832 nucleotides) under Hevea brasiliensis (rubber tree). The record is from RNAcentral. Lineage: Eukaryota; Viridiplantae; Streptophyta; Magnoliopsida; Malpighiales; Euphorbiaceae.